Long non-coding RNA from Oryza sativa Japonica Group (Japanese rice), 1367 nucleotides. RefSeq lists it as uncharacterized. Lineage: Eukaryota; Viridiplantae; Streptophyta; Magnoliopsida; Poales; Poaceae. The record is from RefSeq and is a predicted model, not a curated record.
GACCAGGAAUAAGCCGGUCUCGGCCUGCUCUGCCUCGCCGUCGUCUCCGCUCGGCGCUCCGGCCGCCGCGGCACCACCGCCGCUGCCACGACCUUGCUCCGCUCACCGCGGCCGCCGUCGUCACCACCGCAGCGGCCUCGCUCUGAUCUGCAUUGCCAUGGAGCAGCUGCGCCUCUGCGACUGUCUCCCUCCCCCGCGCCACGUAUCUCUCUCUGCUUCGCUACCGGCACCUCGGGGGCGGCCUCGAUCCGCCACCGCCGGGCCGGCCUUGCUCCUGCUGCGCGCUGCCGCCGCCAAUCCGGCCUCAAUCCGCACAGCCUCCGCUCUCUUCCUAGGGAUUAUGUGCAUAGGUGGCACCACCGCCGUCGUUGCCGGAAUUGCAACCGUCGUCAUCCCUGGUCUCUAUCCGCACCAGCACGACGAGUGAAUUAAUUACGGCAACAAGCUCCUGCGGCCUAGGCAGCAAUGAAAUCUUCAAUUCAUCGGGAAUUUUUGCGGCUAGAACGGCUAAUUGCCUCGUACGACCACGAUCUGGAGUAGGCAAGAUUGAAGAAUAACAAAAGGAGUUUUACCAAGCCAGGGAAAAUGCAGAAGGAACAAUAGGAGAGAAAGAAUGUAUCUGAAGCAAACUAGCUUAGAAACACCAAAUAUGACUCAAGGUCCCCAAGAGGGGCUAGGGGUGCUCCUAGGCGAGGGAAAUGGAAGCACUGGAUUUAAUCAGCUAGAGACAUGAACAUGGACCAUUAUGCGGAAACAUGAGUUCACUUGCUUUCUGUAGUGCCACAUCAGGGGCCUCCUGUUUUCACUCAAAAAAGAUGUGAUGACCCAGAGCUGCAUUUCUUUCAACCAAUCAAGCUUUCGGCGCAAGUUCCAUGGUUUAAGUAUGCCAACAGACCCAUCUGAUUCGUCCUGAGUCAUGCUCCCUGUCUCAGGGUCUUCUUUCUAAAGCACCAUCUCAAGGUUUCUUUGGCUCUAAAAGAUUGGAUCCAGUUGAGUUGGAGGGGGACAUGAAGCUUUGGUGCUGUUAAGUUUUUGGUGUAAUCAUGGCCUACACGUCCUCCUCUUUCUGCUGCCACCCUGACUUCCACAGGGGCCUUCUUGUGCUGCUCCCUUAGCACAGGGUGGAAGUGGUUCUCCACCUAACACUUUUUUCCUUAGAAAAUCUGUGUAUGAUUGCUAUGAACAGCUCUAAUUCUUUCAUGCAGUUGUUGACUGGUUGUAAAUUCUGACCUUAGUGCUCCUUGCUGUAACCUUUGCUCAUCCAGCUCCAAGUAAAAAUAGCUUGGUAUGGUAUGACUAGGAUUUUAAAAUUUUCUUAUGAAUUGAUUAGCUGGUGAGGUGGUCAUCUCAUCUACUGCUUUGAGUUA